Molecule: long non-coding RNA, 447 nt
Organism: Polypterus senegalus (gray bichir)
Lineage: Eukaryota; Metazoa; Chordata; Cladistia; Polypteriformes; Polypteridae
Exons: 3
Source: RefSeq, a predicted model, not a curated record
AAGCAUAUGAAAAUGUUGGCUGAAUUAUUUAUGCCAGUACAAUUAAUAGUAUAACAUUUACUUUACUGUUCCUAAAAUUUAGGCAAUGAAUGGCUUCAUAGGCUUGCUUUUGUGGAGUGUAACUUAUAGACUGUUUUUCUUGUUCUUCAAAGAUCAGUUUCAUCUGUGGCAUUAACUGAAUUUGCAUGUCAGCAUAUUUAUGGUUACGUUUAGUUGUAUUAAAUUGUAAUGUAGUGUAUUUAAAUUGUUGCAAUACUGCAUAAUUGAUUUGCAGAAAUGCAUAAUACUUGAUAAUCUGUAUUGCAGUGCCCAGUAGUAUGGAAAGUGUGGUUCUCACAAAGGCACCUGUCAGAAAUCAACCAAUCUAGAAUGGAGUGAUUGUUUUCUUCAGGUCUUCAUUGAUCCAAAACAUCUUGACUGCUUGUGACUGGCUGGAUGCCAACAAAA